AAUGGGUCAGCGACUUAUAUUCUGUAGCAAGGUUAACCGAAUAGGGGAGCCGAAGGGAAACCGAGUCUUAACUGGGCGUUAAGUUGCAGGGUAUAGACCCGAAACCCGGUGAUCUAGCCAUGGGCAGGUUGAAGGUUGGGUAACACUAACUGGAGGACCGAACCGACUAAUGUUGAAAAAUUAGCGGAUGACUUGUGGCUGGGGGUGAAAGGCCAAUCAAACCGGGAGAUAGCUGGUUCUCCCCGAAAGCUAUUUAGGUAGCGCCUCGUGAAUUCAUCUCCGGGGGUAGAGCACUGUUUCGGCAAGGGGGUCAUCCCGACUUACCAAC
Molecule: ribosomal RNA, 328 nt
Filed under: Escherichia coli
Lineage: Bacteria; Pseudomonadati; Pseudomonadota; Gammaproteobacteria; Enterobacterales; Enterobacteriaceae
Also listed under: 1 other name
Description: partial 23S ribosomal RNA
Rfam family: Bacterial large subunit ribosomal RNA
Source: RNAcentral